RNAcentral lists this ribosomal RNA (611 nucleotides) under Priestia megaterium. RNAcentral's name for it is "bacterial SSU rRNA". It matches the Rfam family "Bacterial small subunit ribosomal RNA", at positions 1 to 598 of the family's 1533-position model. The record is from RNAcentral. Lineage: Bacteria; Bacillati; Bacillota; Bacilli; Caryophanales; Bacillaceae.
UUAGAGUUUGAUCCUGGCUCAGGAUGAACGCUGGCGGCGUGCCUAAUACAUGCAAGUCGAGCGAACUGAUUAGAAGCUUGCUUCUAUGACGUUAGCGGCGGACGGGUGAGUAACACGUGGGCAACCUGCCUGUAAGACUGGGAUAACUUCGGGAAACCGAAGCUAAUACCGGAUAGGAUCUUCUCCUUCAUGGGAGAUGAUUGAAAGAUGGUUUCGGCUAUCACUUACAGAUGGGCCCGCGGUGCAUUAGCUAGUUGGUGAGGUAACGGCUCACCAAGGCAACGAUGCAUAGCCGACCUGAGAGGGUGAUCGGCCACACUGGGACUGAGACACGGCCCAGACUCCUACGGGAGGCAGCAGUAGGGAAUCUUCCGCAAUGGACGAAAGUCUGACGGAGCAACGCCGCGUGAGUGAUGAAGGCUUUCGGGUCGUAAAACUCUGUUGUUAGGGAAGAACAAGUACGAGAGUAACUGCUCGUACCUUGACGGUACCUAACCAGAAAGCCACGGCUAACUACGUGCCAGCAGCCGCGGUAAUACGUAGGUGGCAAGCGUUAUCCGGAAUUAUUGGGCGUAAAGCGCGCGCAGGCGGUUUCUUAAGUCUGAUGUGAA